This is a non-coding RNA of Elaeis guineensis (African oil palm), 4045 nucleotides long. NCBI's taxonomy places the organism in Eukaryota, Viridiplantae, Streptophyta, Magnoliopsida, Arecales, Arecaceae. The record is from RefSeq and is a predicted model, not a curated record.
AUAACCAAUAGACGAAAAAUAUUUGCACCCACUUGCACACCCUUUCCCAUCACGCGGGCCCAUUUUUAUUUUAUGUUAUUUUAUUUUUUAUUCUAACUUCCGUGGCGAGAGGGAGAGGGGAGCAAGAGCGCAAAGCCGGCGGUGGUUGGAUAGAAUCUGAGAAUAAAAUCCCGCGGUUACGAUCACCACCGAGAUUCGCUCCUCCGUCUCCGCCUCUUCCUCCUCCUCCUCGGCCGUCGGAGGGAAAGGAAGGCAAGGUUAGCGCUAGCAUUAGGGUUUCUUGAGGGAGGGGACGAAUGGGGACGUUCCAGAGCUGGCGGCAGGCCUAUGGGGCGCUCAAGGACACCACCAAGGUCGGCCUCGCCAAGGUCAACAGCGAAUUUAAGGAGCUUGACAUCGCCGUCGUCAAGGCCACGAACCACGUGGAAUGCCCGCCGAAGGAACGGCACGUUAGAAAAAUAUUUGUUGCUACGGCUGUAGAUAGGCCACGGACUGAUGUGGCUUAUUGUGUGCAUAUACUCGCUCGGAGAUUGGCCAAGACCCGUAACUGGGUGGUUGCCUUGAAAACAUUGAUAGUUAUCCACAGGGCAUUGAGAGAGGGCGAUCCUACAUUCAGAGAGGAGCUAUUGAACUAUUCCCGCAGAGGAAAUGUUCUGCGGAUAUCUAAUUUCAGGGAUGAUUCCAGUUCUCUUGCUUGGGAUUGCUCAGCAUGGGUUCGAACAUAUGCACUAUUCCUAGAAGAGAGGCUCGAGUGUUUUAGGAUUUUAAAAUAUGAUAUUGAAGCUGAACGUUUGAGGAAAUUUUCAGAUGGGGAUGCAAAGGGGCAAAGCAGAACAGGGAAAUUAGGUUGUCAGGAUCUUUUAGAUCAAUUACCUGCUUUACAAAAUCUGCUCUACUGCCUAGUUGGCUGCCAGCCUGAAAGAGCAGCAUUCGGCAACUAUCUUAUACAGUAUGCAUUAGCUUUGGUUUUGAAAGAGAGCUUCAAAAUCUAUUGUGCAAUCAAUGAUGGGAUUAUCAAUCUUGUGGAUUUGUUUUUUGAGAUGUCAAGACAUGAUGCCAUCAAAGCACUCGACAUCUAUAAAAGAGCUGGGCAACUGGCUGAAAAUCUUGCUAGUUUCUAUAAGUUUUGCAAAGGUUUGGAGCUUGCCAGGAACUUUCAGUUUCCAAUGUUGAGAGAGCCACCACCAUCAUUUCUUGCAACGAUGGAAGAGUACAUUAGGGAAGCUCCUCGUGCUGGUUCUGUUUCAAAUAAGACUCUGGAAUACGAAGAGAGGAAAUUAAUAACCAACAAGGAAGAAGAAUCUUCCCCUUCAGAGAGUCAAAAAUCUGCUGUAGAAGAUGAGAAAGAAUCACCAACUGAGACUGAAGAAAAAUCACAGCCUAUCAUGGAGGUAGCAGCUCAACCGGCAACAACUGUUGAUUUAUUGGGUUUGGAUGAAACAAAUCAUGGUCCUGCUGAACUUGAGGAAAGCAAUGCAUUGGCUCUUGCUAUCAUUCCACAAGGGGAUGAUUCCAAACCCUCAAAUACUGGUGGCUUGGUUGGGGUUGGAAUUGAUUCUUCAGGAUGGGAGUUAGCACUAGUCACAACACCCAGCAGUAACAGUAACCAAUUGACUGAAAACAAACUGGCUGGUGGAUUCGACAAGCUUUUGCUUGACAGCUUGUAUGAUGAUGCAGCCAGGUGGCAACAGAACACAGGAGCAUAUAAUGGGUUUGCUCCCAAUCCUUUUGACUCGCAGGACCCUUUUGCUAUGUCCCACAAUUUUGCAGCACCACCCAACGUCCAGAUGGCUUUAAUAGCCCAUCAGCAGCAGCACCAGCAUCAGCAGCAGCAAAACUUGAUGAUGAUGCCGGACAACUAUCAACCUCAUUAUCUUCAUUCCCAGGCUGCAUCUACCAAUCCUUUUGCUGAUCCUUUGGUUGGCUUCACUCAGCCUGCUUCUCUACAUGGCAAUUCUGGUUUGAUUUGAUAAUUCAUCGAUUCUUUUUUCUGAGGCAAUGCAUUCUUUUGUUCAUUAUACGUACAAUCAUACAUGUUCUUUCAUUCUUCUUAGUAGAUAAAAUGAGGGGAAAGAGGACUAGUUUCUUGUAAAGUGUGAGAUGUUACCUUUCCUAUUGGAUUUGUAUUUCUGGGGUAUGAUUUUUUUUCUGAAUUUGGAAAUGCUGGUGAUUGAUCCUGGAGGCUUGAUGUAUUUAUUGUUUUCUAAAUAUAGUGUCCUGCUGCUUGAUCUAUGCGUGCAAAAUACUGCUCUAGCCUUGUAUUUUUCACUGUUCAAAUUCUUAGACGUUGUUGUCACCAAAUUUGUUUCUUACAAUUUUAUUAAAAAAUAUAUAUAUACUGUUUUAUCAAGCAUUUCCUAAUAUAUAUUUUCUGAAAGCCUGAGUCCAGGACUAACCUCCCUAAACACGGUGAUCAUUUGCAUAAGAAAUUGUAAUUAAGUGGUUAUUUUAUAAUGGAGGUGCAGAUGGUGAUUAUCAGUAAUUUACAACCCGGGCUAAGUUAUCAACAGGGUACUGGGUUCUUCAUGUGCAGCAACGAAUAUAUAGCUUUUGAGCUGAUGGAUAUCAUGAGGAAGAAUUUGGACCCCCCUGAGCAUUAAUGAACCGAAGCAAGACUUUUCUGGGCUCAAAAGGAAGGAAGGGGAAGAGGGGGCAAAAAAGAUGGCGCUAUAAAGCCAAAUGAUGCAUGGUGCAUCCUGGAUCCUCGUCUCUAAACCGUAUAUAUCUUGUGCCCCUCUCUCUCUCUCUCUGCUGUAAAAGUAAAACAUAGCGUUUGAGCGCCGUGAUGUUCGAAAGAUCAAGAUGGCGACGGCAGACUUACUGGAAGCUUCGUACACGAUUCCGCACUUCCCAGACGACGCCGUAGUACUUGCUAGUACCGCUCUUCUAUAAAUAUACAUGCCUCUCUCUCUCCCCCCCUUCUUUAUAUGUGUUUUUUUUUUUGUUUUUCUUUGUUCCCUGAUCUCUCACCCCCCGUCUCUCCUCUGUUACUCUCAUUCACCAUCUUCUUCGAUGGCUCGAAUCCUCUCGCGAACCCUAAUCCGAGGUCCCCAAAACCUAAUCCGAAAUCAUCCUUCCCACCUCCCCUCCACCGCCUGCCUGGUCAACUGCCCGGGAGAGGGCGCGGCUCGUGGAGGUGGACCUCGAGUCCGAGUCUUCGCGGCCACGAGGACGCCGUCCACUGCGUCAUCAUCCGUCGGUCCGCCUCCGACUGGCUUCCUUUCAUGACGAACAGAGGGUGGCCAUGGUCGUCCUACUUCGUGGUCGUGGAAGAUUAUGCACUGAGAUGAGGGCAGCGUGAUGUCAAAUUGUCAAUACACGAUAAAGUUCUCUAAUCAGUUAUGAUUUUGGGAUCAUAGAGCAUUGACUACAGGUAUCGCCCCGCACUGGAUGAAAAAGGUCCCAAAGAAGGCCACAGCAGAGUCUGCUGAUGAAGAAUGACGUUCUAUACCCAACAAAGUCUAAAUUGGGGAAAGAAAAACUGCCAUAUGUUACGGUGCCGCUAUAUACCAUGCCUCUUGCAAACUUUUAUCAGUCUUGCUUGCGCAAUACUUAGCAUGCUCACCAGUGCGUUCAUGGUUACCUUGGUAUGUUUGCAAACAAUGGGUUUCACAAAAUAAGAUUUUCGAGGCUUGUUGGAUGUAUUGUAGAAGCGCCCCACCAACUGAUUGUCUGCAGCUGGGAAUGACGGACUUUUUACUGUUAUGAAUUGUGCGGCAGCUGAAAUAACACGGGUGUGGGAAAAAUCAAGCGCACGUAUACUUUUUGAGAUAGAACAAAAUAUGCCCAACCAGCAUAUCUGGAAAGCAAUACCAGUCUAGGGAUUGGUCUCCUGAAGUAUGUCAUACACCACUGCUGUAGCUUAAUGCACCAGUCUCAUCAGAUGCCCCCUAUGUUACAUAUUUGCAUAUUGAUACGUAAAACAAGCUGCAGUCUGAAACAUUUUGUCCUGGGUAUGCAUGCUUUAUAGCAGCGGGGAUGCGAGAUGUAGGGUAUUAGCUUCCAUUUGAAUGACCAUCAUAGCUUCACAGUUUGUAACCUGCCA